Molecule: non-coding RNA, 115 nt
Organism: Podarcis lilfordi (Lilford's wall lizard)
Lineage: Eukaryota; Metazoa; Chordata; Lepidosauria; Squamata; Lacertidae
Source: the annotation of a GenBank genome assembly
AACUAAGUUUGUUAUUGGUAUGAGCUUUUGUGUGCAUGCAGACUUCUUCUAUUUCAGUGUAUCUGAAGAAGUGUGCAUGCACACAAAAUCUCAUACCAGUAACAAACUUAGUUGG